Molecule: long non-coding RNA, 978 nt
Filed under: Canis lupus familiaris (dog)
Lineage: Eukaryota; Metazoa; Chordata; Mammalia; Carnivora; Canidae
Description: lncRNA (ENSCAFG00000055340.1)
Source: RNAcentral
GCAGGUCAGUGCAAAAACUCAUAUAGAUUUUCAUAUGUAUAUGCAAAACCACUUGACAUCCAAAAUAACUUUGAGGUGAUUCAAGAACAGCAAUGUAGAGGUGUGGUUACACAGUAAAAGAAGCAUGUGCUUUGGACUCCAAUGGGCCUAGCCCUUCACAACUUACCAGUUACUACCUUUGUCAAACCACUUAAGCUGUUUAGGCCUCAGUUGCCUUGUAUGUAAAUGUAGACAAGACUUCUACAUAGGGGAUUGCUAUAAAGACUGAUAAUGAUGUGUCAAUGGGAGUCGAUGCUUGGUAAGUGGGAAUUAUUGAUAAAGCAAAUGAAAGUGGAAAAACACUUGAGAUGGUGAUUCACUUUAGUGUGGUGGGGAGGAAUGUACGCAGAAGGUUGGGAGGGUCAAGAGGAGCCAGAGGCCAGCUGGGGAGCCCUGACUAAACUUGGAGCAACUGUCUCCAACCUGAACCAAAGCAGUGACUGUGAGAAUGGAGAAAAGCAAUAGAACCUAGCCACAUGGAUGGGAUUGAAAAUGGAAAACCUGUAGUAAAGGCAGGAGGAGCAGUGGCCACACCCCUUGUUUCUUCAAUAACUUUUCCCUUUACCCAUAUCGUACUCAAAGCAUGUAAUGUUUUUUAAAAGUCCUGAAUAUAUGAAUCAUUAAAUACGCGAAAGACUGAAGAAAUAGUAACAGAGUUUAUAUUUCUAGGUAAUGAAAGUGCCCGCAAUGAAAAUAUGUUACAUAACAUACCCUUCCGCAAUAAGCUUCCUACUCGACUCCAAGGUGAAAAGGAAUUCAGUUUCUGUUGCAGGAAAGAUUAUUAAAGAAGGUUAUUAUAAUGAAACCCAAAAAUCUGCAGACACUCUGCUUUCUGAGCGAAGCAAGCUUGCAUUUGGAUUGCCUACUAUCUUCAGGGAAAAUACCAUGAAAGCAGAAGUAAACCUCUGGAUUUCACAAUUUGUUAUUGCCACAAUUUAA